Molecule: small nuclear RNA, 104 nt
Organism: Rhinolophus ferrumequinum (greater horseshoe bat)
Lineage: Eukaryota; Metazoa; Chordata; Mammalia; Chiroptera; Rhinolophidae
Source: Ensembl
GUGCUUGCUUCAGUAGCACAUAUACUAAAACUGGAACGAUGCAGAGAUUACCAAGGCCCCUGUGCAAGGAUGACAUGCAAAUUCACUAAGUGUUUCCUAUUUUU